RNAcentral lists this ribosomal RNA (427 nucleotides) under uncultured prokaryote. Its description in RNAcentral is "bacterial SSU rRNA". It matches the Rfam family "Bacterial small subunit ribosomal RNA", at positions 355 to 774 of the family's 1533-position model. The record is from RNAcentral.
CUAAGAAUAUUCCGCAAUGGACGAAAGUCUGACGGAGCGACGCCGCGUGGAUGACGAAGGCCGAAAGGUUGUAAAGUCCUUUUGUUGGGGAAGAAUAACCAUGGGAGGGAAUGCCCGUGGGAUGACAUGAACCGACGAAUAAGCCCCGGCUAACUACGUGCCAGCAGCCGCGGUAACACGUAGGGGGCGGGCGUUGUUCGGAAUUACUGGGCGUAAAGGGCAUGUAGGCGGCUCUGUAAGUCCGGCGUGGAAGCCCACGGCUCAACCGUGGGAUUGCGCUGGAAACUGUGGGGCUUGAAUCAUGGAGAGGGAGCUAGAAUUCCAGGUGUAGGGGUGAAAUCUGUAGAGAUCUGGAAGAAUACCAGUGGCGAAGGCGAGCUCCUGGCCAAUGAUUGACGCUGAGGUGCGAAAGUGUGGGGAUCAAACA